This 253-nucleotide ribosomal RNA is filed under the name uncultured bacterium. Its description in RNAcentral is "partial 16S ribosomal RNA". It matches the Rfam family "Bacterial small subunit ribosomal RNA", at positions 524 to 776 of the family's 1533-position model. The record is from RNAcentral.
UACGUAGGGGGCAAGCGUUGUCCGGAUUUAUUGGGCGUAAAGAGCGUGUAGGCGGCCACGCAGGUCCGUUGUGAAAACUGGAGGCUCAACCUCCAGACGUCGACGGAAACCGUAUGGCUAGAGUCCGGAAGAGGAGAGUGGAAUUCCUGGUGUAGCGGUGAAAUGCGCAGAUAUCAGGAAGAACACCAAUGGCGAAGGCAGCUCUCUGGGACGGUACUGACGCUGAGACGCGAAAGCGUGGGGAGCGAACAGG